Molecule: unclassified non-coding RNA, 239 nt
Filed under: uncultured fungus
Lineage: Eukaryota; Fungi
Also listed under: 1 other name
Description: partial contains 5.8S ribosomal RNA, internal transcribed spacer 2, and large subunit ribosomal RNA
Source: RNAcentral
AACGCACAUUGCGCCCCCUGGCAUUCCGGGGGGCAUGCCUGUUCGAGCGUCAUUUCAACCCUCAAGCACUGCUUGGUGUUGGGCCUCGCCGGAGACGGCGGGCCCUAAAAUCAGUGGCGGCGCCGCUGGGCCCUGAGCGUAGUAAUUCUCUCGCUACAGGCCCCCGCGUGCUCCCGCCAGAACCCCCCAAUUUUUCUAUGGUUGACCUCGGAUCAGGUAGGGAUACCCGCUGAACUUAA